GGGCGCGCGGGGAGCUCAGUCCCCUGGCGUGGGCACAGGCAAGGUGAGGGCUCUGCGGGCGCGCGCCCUGUGGUGGGGCCAUGCUCCGCCCUGGGUCCCUACCCUGGUGGAGGCGCCUGGGCCCUCAGUGCCGUCCUGGGACAGACCUGUGUCCCUAAGGCCUGAGACGCUGGGCCCGCCCUGAAGGCGUGUCAUCACGCGGGGGGCGGGAGGGGACCCUGGCCAGGCAGUGCCUGAAUGAACCCGUUCCGUGCUGCCCCCUUCCCAGCCCUGAGCAUGGGGACGCCAGGCUUCCAGCCACAGGGGCAGACUAACCCCGGAGCCCACUCCCUGCCUGGGUCUGUGUGAGGAAGAGCCCGGGCCGGAGACUAGGAGGCAUGGAACAAAGUGUUUGCAUCUGCGUGGCCGCAUCAGGAGAAAUUCCUGGGAGGCUCGGGACCUCGGGGCGACCCCUGGGUGCUCAAAGGGCUGCUGCGAGAACAGAGGGAGAGCUCUCCAAACCCCAGCACGGUUCUCAGUCAUCAUGAGACCGGAACACAGAGGCCCACACACGACCGCUGGACAUGUUUAAGAAAAUGCCAAUGUAUUUCCACUAGAAAAAUCCUCUUUUCCUAAAUACAUGUCUCUAUGUUGAAUAAGUUAAAAUAGCAUCUCC
RNAcentral lists this long non-coding RNA (655 nucleotides) under Homo sapiens (human). RNAcentral's name for it is "non-protein coding lnc-MTERF4-6:1". Lineage: Eukaryota; Metazoa; Chordata; Mammalia; Primates; Hominidae. The record is from RNAcentral.